AGGUUACUGCUAUCGAGGUUCGACUAAGCCAUGCGAGUCGAAUGUAGCAAUACAUGGCGUACUGCUCAGUAACACGUGGACAACCUACCCUUAGGCCUGGGAUAACCCCGGGAAACUGGGAAUAAUACCGGAUAUCUCGCGAAUGCUGGAAUGCGUCGCGAUAGAAAGCUCCGGCGCCUAAGGAUGGGUCUGCGGCCUAUCAGGGUAGUAGUGGGUGUAAUGUACCUACUAGCCUACGACGGGUACGGGUUGUGAGAGCAAGAGCCCGGAGAUGGAUUCUGAGACACGAAUCCAGGCCCUACGGGGUGCAGCAGGCGCGAAAACUUUACAAUGCCUGCAACGGCGAUAAGGGGACCUCGAGUGCCAGGAUACAAUCCUGGCUGUCGUAAUGCCUAAAAAGCAUUGCAUAGCAAGGGCCGGGCAAGACCGGUGCCAGCCGCCGCGGUAACACCGGCGGCUCGAGUGGUAACCGCUAUUAUUGGGUCUAAAGGGUCUGUAGCCGGCUGACUAAGUCUCUUGGGAAAUCUGGCAGCUCAACUGUCAGGCUUUCAGGAGAUACUGAUCGGCUCGAGACCGGGAGAGGUGAGAGGUACCUCAGGGGUAGGGGUGAAAUCUUGUAAUCCUUGAGGGACCACCAGUGGCGAAGGCGUCUCACCAGAACGGAUCUGACGGCAAGGGACGAAAGCUAGGGGCACGAACCGGAUUAGAUACCCGGGUAGUCCUAGCCGUAAACGAUACUCGCUAGGUGUCGGCCACGGUGCGACCGUGGUCGGUGCCGUAGGGAAGCCGUGAAGCGAGCCACCUGGGAAGUACGGCCGCAAGGCUGAAACUUAAAGGAAU
RNAcentral lists this ribosomal RNA (840 nucleotides) under uncultured euryarchaeote. RNAcentral describes it as "bacterial SSU rRNA". It matches the Rfam family "Archaeal small subunit ribosomal RNA", at positions 21 to 865 of the family's 1478-position model. The record is from RNAcentral. Lineage: Archaea; Methanobacteriati; Methanobacteriota.